GGUAUGCAAGAAGUGAAUGAUUUAUUAGGGGACAGCAGCCUAAGCACUCGUGACCCAUUUCUUAGGAAGAGACAUUUUAAAAUAAGAAAAGGAAACUAGAACUUAACAGUCUGACAGGAUAUUCUAGCUAACCACAGAUGUACAGAAUUAUAGUUUAGCUACAGAGAUCUCUUUUCACAAUUUUUUGCACAUCUCAUCAGUAAAUGCUACCUUCUGUAUACUUGACUGCUCUUUGAAAAAGGUAAUCAGAAACCAUUACAAAGUGGAUUUUGUAUCCCAGGCUCAAGUUGGAACAAGAGAAGAGCUGGCAGAGCAUGGAUAUCCCUGUGAGGAGGGGUCAGGAGGCCUGAGACAUCCUUGCAGGGCAGUGUGCAUCCCCUUUCCAACGAGACAGGCGGGGCAGCGGGCCUCUGGGCCCCUCGGGUGGCCGGAACAACAGCGUCAGCACACAGGCCAGGAAGACUGCCCUGCCAGCAAGCAGCGCCAGGCCAAGCACACCCUCUUUCCCGGACUUAGGAAAACAAAACCAACAGGCAAAUCCACUCAUCAGCAUUUCUGAAGCCAGCUGUUAACCAAUCCGCUUCCUUCCCUUUACUCUUUUUUUUCUUUCCCUUUUCCAGAAAAACCUGGAAAGCUCUGCAAAACUCUGCAAAAUGACUUACUAGCUCUGGCUGCCUUGCUGUUUUCCUUGUCUCCUUUGGCCUGUGUCAUCCUCUCAGGCAAGGACCGCACUGCAGUCUGACUUCCUGCCAGCUGGCCUGCAGGGUUCAUCUCUGUCUUUAAAAACAAACAAAAAAACAAACAAAAAAACCCUGUAUUUUCCUAAACCUACAAACCUCAAGUUAGAGGUCAUUUUGUCCAACCCCACCCAAAGCAGAACACCUCAGUUCAGCUGUAAAAUUUAGCAGAGUAAAUGUAUUUGGUUUUAAAACACAACCCCUUGGUUUCACUUUGCCUAUCCAAUCAACCCAGAGUGACAGCUCUCGUAAAAUAUCUGCUCUUGCUAAGAACCCCAUGGGGCAGGUCUAUUUGUGUAUGGAGUUUAGCAGAGCUGAGAGCCCCAGUAAAUUUCCAUUUAGUAAUUCAGUGACUGUCAAUCGACACCUAAUAUGUAUCUAUGGCUGUCUGAGGCCCUGUGCUGGAGACAAAAACAAACGUGAGAUCCAGCUCCUGCCCUCAGUCUCUAGUAACCCUGUCAGGACACUUUCAGCUCAUAAAUGUGUCUGGAUUCAUUCAUUUUGUCCUUUAAAUCCAUUUGCAGGGGAUCAAAUAUAUCACUAAGUUGUGAACAUUUUGAUGAUUAGCUGUGGUCAGAAACAUGAUUUAUAGGAAUGGCUUUCUCCAGUCUUUCCUUUUUUUAAGAUUUUGGGGAAAUAGCUUUUAUAUUGCAAAGAUCAUAGCCAGAGUUCAAACUCUAGGUAAUGCAAUCCAAGUAAGAUUCACUAACCUUUCA
Long non-coding RNA from Camelus dromedarius (Arabian camel), 1453 nucleotides. RefSeq lists it as uncharacterized. The record is from RefSeq and is a predicted model, not a curated record. Lineage: Eukaryota; Metazoa; Chordata; Mammalia; Artiodactyla; Camelidae. The transcript is spliced from 3 exons.